This is a long non-coding RNA of Phymastichus coffea, 339 nucleotides long. RefSeq lists it as uncharacterized. The transcript has 2 exons. Lineage: Eukaryota; Metazoa; Arthropoda; Insecta; Hymenoptera; Eulophidae. The record is from RefSeq and is a predicted model, not a curated record.
AGAAUAUACAAGACCGAUUCACUUUCCUGAGCUUCAGUUCAUCAUUACCUAUUCUACUGUAAACUAAACUGGCAGCCGAGUCUUCAUAAUGAAGAUCUAUUUUCUCGUUUUACUCAUCGUAGUAUUGAUGAUCGUAGAAAGUCAAGCAGGUUGCGAUGAAACAUAUUGCAAUGACAAACUUUGCCCGGCAAAUGGAUACCGCAGCGGUUUCUGUAGUGGUAACGAUUGCAUGUGUCAGUGGAAACGAAUAGCUCACACAGGGUAGAAAUAAAGAUUUCCAAUGACAAACACAAAAUGUCUGAGUAACGAAACACGUAAUAAAAUAGCAUCACAUUAAAA